RNAcentral lists this unclassified non-coding RNA (433 nucleotides) under soil metagenome. RNAcentral's name for it is "partial contains 5.8S ribosomal RNA, internal transcribed spacer 2, and large subunit ribosomal RNA". The stretch from base 1 to 120 matches the Rfam family "5.8S ribosomal RNA", at positions 35 to 154 of the family's 154-position model. The record is from RNAcentral.
GAUGAAGAACGUAGCGAAAUGCGAUACGUAAUGUGAAUUGCAGAAUUCAGUGAAUCAUCGAAUCUUUGAACGCAUAUUGCGCUCUCUGGUAUUCCGGAGAGCAUGCUUGUUUGAGUAUCAGUAAACACCUCAACUUCCAUAUCUUUUUUGAAAUGGGAGUUGGACUUGAGUGAUCCCAACGCUUUUCCUCACCGAAAGGUGGCGGGUUACUUGAAAUGCAGGUGCAGCUGGACUUUUCUCUGAGCUAUAAGCAUAUCUAUUUAGUCUGCCUAAAAAACAGAUUAUUACCUUUGCUGCAGCUAACAUAAAGGAGAUUAGUUCUUGUGCUGACUGAUGCAGGAUUCACAAAGACAGGCUUCGGCCGACUUUGUAAACUCGAUCUCAAAUCAAGUAAGACUACCCGCUGAACUUAAGCAUAUCAAUAAGCGGAGGA